This 25-nucleotide transfer RNA is filed under the name Tetraclita rubescens. Its description in RNAcentral is "partial tRNA-Met". Lineage: Eukaryota; Metazoa; Arthropoda; Thecostraca; Balanomorpha; Tetraclitidae. The record is from RNAcentral.
UUAAAAAAAGAWAAGCUAAAUUUAA